RNAcentral lists this long non-coding RNA (1564 nucleotides) under Dromaius novaehollandiae (emu). RNAcentral's name for it is "lncRNA (ENSDNVG00000009453.1)". The record is from RNAcentral. Lineage: Eukaryota; Metazoa; Chordata; Aves; Casuariiformes; Dromaiidae.
AAUGAGUUAGCAUGUUUCAAGAAGUGUGUAUCUGAGAUAGUUAAAUCUGAUUGUUUCGUGAAGUCCAUGCAGUUUAUUUGUUCGAUCCCUCCAGCAAUGUACUGUUUGAAAGUCGUAUUAGUCAAAGCUGACUAGAGUCACUGUUAAGUCACACAAGUGAGAGAUGUAGCUGGUAUUGCUUAUUCAAGGGGUGAGAAUACAGGACUGAGUCCAGCAAGCAACCAGAAGCUCCAAUUUCUGUCUGAGCUCCUUUUUUUCUGGAAACCAGGUCUCGUGAGACUAUACUGCUUCCUGGCUGAAUGGAAAAGAAGUAGCCAUUGAAGUACAGAGCCUAAGGCUAAUUCCUGCUCUAACUCCCAUUGAAACCAACAGGAUAUCAUUGCUUAAAUAAUUUAGACAAUUAAGCUUUUGGAUGCUACAAUGAGGAGGACCAUGCAAGUGCACUGAGAACAUCCCACCCGUCAACUCAGUAUCUUUCCAGCCCACAUCAGUGUGAGGUCAGUAGGACAGGAGAGAAUCCCGACAAAGAGACAGAACCAUCAGUUACUGCAAUGAGAGCGAAGCAUGGAGGGAGGCAGGACAGACGUGGAGAGAGCUCUCUUCAGAUUCAGCUCAGGAACUGUCUAAUUCUCCAGACCUGCCCAUGCUGGAAAACCAAAAGCUUCUGUGCAGGAGGAGGGAUGUGCUUCUGGUGCACAGUACAGUUCAGCUGCCAAAGUUGUGCUGUGUCAAGACUCUUUGAGGCUGUGAAGGAGUCUGAAGAGGAUUUAACUCAUGAUGAUGAAACAGGACCAGAACACUGCACUGCACAAAGCAGAGAUCAAACACAUUUGCCCUCAAAAGAAGUGUAAGAAAUUGUGAGAGAGCUGCAAUGCCUUGGUGAGCUGAGAAUGAGCAGCCUGAGGCAAUACAUAUCCAGAGAGCAGCAAAUUCAGCAAAGCAGCAGCUAAACACCUCAUUCUGCAGCCUAAGUAUAACCCGUUUCUUGUGAGAUUUYCCUAUACCUAAGAGAGAAGGAAGCUUUUAUUUUGGGGGGGGGAAGAAAAUGUAAUCAAAUUGGAGAUCGAAUCUCUGCUCUGAAUUCACCAUACGAUUGUAUGCUAAAUACAUUCUGACAACUGCGAUUCUCCAUUCAUCACUGAAGCUUUGCCUUCAUUGCAAAACUUCUUGCACUUAUGCCUUAAUCACACUUCUAGUGAUAUAGAUGGCUCAAGUAUCCAUUGACUGCAGUGGGACAAUAAUCUUUAAUGUGCAAUUAUCAAAUUUCUGUCUGCAGACACUAUUUAAAACUGAGUCAUGUUAUAUGAUCGUGCAUUCAGGAAAUGAAGGCGACAGUCUCUGACUGGAAUUUCAUCUAUUUUAAAGCAGAGACAAUUCAGGAAAGAAACUGUAGACUGUGGGUCAGCAAUAGACUGAUUCACAUUAAAAAGAGAAAACUAUGCAAAAGCUAUAGCUUGCUAUGAUUUGGUUACUUUAUGAAUCUCACAAAGUAUUCACCAACACGUAGCAUUUUUCUUUUACCUCUUUUCAAUUCAUGCAAAGAAUAAACAGCAUGCAUCUUUCA